Molecule: ribosomal RNA, 329 nt
Filed under: Neocallimastigales sp.
Lineage: Eukaryota; Fungi; Neocallimastigomycota; Neocallimastigomycetes; Neocallimastigales
Description: partial large subunit ribosomal RNA
Source: RNAcentral
UGUUGUUUUCUCGAAAAUCAAUUAAAAAAGGCAGGAUUUUGUGUUGUAUUGACUUUAUCAGCUUUCUGCACUCUUUUCUUGUCUUUUUUAAUGCACUUUUCGUUUAACAAGUCAACAUCAAUUUCUUUUGUUGUAGAAGGGUCAUUGGAAGGUGGCUUUCUUUUCGGAGAAAGUGUUUAUAGCCUUUGGCCUCUGCAAUCGGAGAGAUUGAGGUCUGCAGCGUAGAUCCUUCGGGGUUAGAUACAUUUGUGCUAAGUUAUAGCCUUUCAUAGACAACUUGUUGACUAUGAUCAGUCAUGUAGCUUACUCGCUUAUGCUAUUUUACCUAC